CGGGACACGUGGUAUCCUGUCUGAAUAUGGGGGGACCAUCCUCCAAGGCUAAAUACUCCUGACUGACCGAUAGUGAACCAGUACCGUGAGGGAAAGGCGAAAAGAACCCCGGCGAGGGGAGUGAAAAAGAACCUGAAACCGUGUACGUACAAGCAGUGGGAGCCUCUUUAUGGGGUGACUGCGUACCUUUUGUAUAAUGGGUCAGCGACUUAUAUUCUGUAGCAAGGUUAACCGAAUAGGGGAGCCGAAGGGAAACCGAGUCUUAACUGGGCGUUAAGUUGCAGGGUAUAGACCCGAAACCCGGUGAUCUAGCCAUGGGCAGGUUGAAGGUUGGGUAACACUAACUGGAGGACCGAACCGACUAAUGUUGAAAAAUUAGCGGAUGACUUGUGGCUGGGGGUGAAAGGCCAAUCAAACCGGGAGAUAGCUGGUUCUCCCCGAAAGCUAUUUAGGUAGCGCCUCGUGAAUUCAUCUCCGGGGGUAGAGCACUGUUUCGGCAAGGGGGUCAUCCCGACUUACCAACCCGAUGCAAACUGCGAAUACCGGAGAAUGUUAUCACGGGAGACACACGGCGGGUGCUAACGUCCGUCGUGAAGAGGGAAACAACCCAGACCGCCAGCUAAGGUCCCAAAGUCAUGGUUAAGUGGGAAACGAUGUGGGAAGGCCCAGACAGCCAGGAUGUUGGCUUAGAAGCAGCCAUCAUUUAAAGAAAGCGUAAUAGCUCACUGGUCGAGUCGGCCUGCGCGGAAGAUGUAACGGGGCUAAACCAUGCACCGAAGCUGCGGCAGCGACACUAUGUGUUGUUGGGUAGGGGAGCGUUCUGUAAGCCUGUGAAGGUGUACUGUGAGGUAUGCUGGAGGUAUCAGAAGUGCGAAUGCUGACAUAAGUAACGAUAAAGCGGGUGAAAAGCCCGCUCGCCGGAAGACCAAGGGUUCCUGUCCAACGUUAAUCGGGGCAGGGUGAGUCGACCCCUAAGGCGAGGCCGAAAGGCGUAGUCGAUGGGAAACAGGUUAAUAUUCCUGUACUUGGUGUUACUGCGAAGGGGGGACGGAGAAGGCUAUGUUGGCCGGGCGACGGUUGUC
RNAcentral lists this ribosomal RNA (1082 nucleotides) under Escherichia coli. RNAcentral's name for it is "partial 23S ribosomal RNA". It matches the Rfam family "Bacterial large subunit ribosomal RNA", at positions 418 to 1506 of the family's 2925-position model. Lineage: Bacteria; Pseudomonadati; Pseudomonadota; Gammaproteobacteria; Enterobacterales; Enterobacteriaceae. The record is from RNAcentral.